RNAcentral lists this ribosomal RNA (253 nucleotides) under uncultured bacterium. RNAcentral's name for it is "partial 16S ribosomal RNA". It matches the Rfam family "Bacterial small subunit ribosomal RNA", at positions 524 to 776 of the family's 1533-position model. The record is from RNAcentral.
UACGUAGGGUGCGAGCGUUAAUCGGAAUUACUGGGCGUAAAGUGUGCGCAGGCGGCCGCGCAAGUCGAGUGUGAAAGCCCCGGGCUUAACUUGGGAAUUGCGCUCGAAACUACGUGGCUGGAGUGUGGCAGAGGAAGGUGGAAUUCCACGUGUAGCAGUGAAAUGCGUAGAGAUGUGGAGGAACACCGAUGGCGAAGGCAGCCUCCUGGGCCAGCACUGACGCUCAUGCACGAAAGCGUGGGGAGCAAACAGG